RNAcentral lists this long non-coding RNA (420 nucleotides) under Homo sapiens (human). Its description in RNAcentral is "non-protein coding lnc-CWC22-6:1". The record is from RNAcentral. Lineage: Eukaryota; Metazoa; Chordata; Mammalia; Primates; Hominidae.
UUGAAUAAACAUAUUUUUCUUCUUUCUUUCUUGAAUAACACUUAAAAGCAGAGAGCCAUGAAUAGUUCCUUUGGGCUUUGUAUGUAUAAAUUAUUUACUUAAUAGAUCAUGAACAUAUUUCUUUUUGUUUUGUUUUGUUUGUGAGACAGAGUCUCGCUCUGUUGCCAGGCUGGAGUGCAGUGGCACGAGCUACCAUGCCCAGCCCAUAUUUCUUUAAUAUUCGGAAUUGUGGAAUAAUUGAAGUUUUAGGUUAUGGAUUGGAGAGUAAAUAAAUAAAUUCAAAGGACCUACAUACACAUGACAUACCAAGAAGCAGAGAAGUCUAAAAUAUUUUAUGAGGGUAGCUAGAGGAACAUAUAUUUGAAUUGGACAACAAUAACGAAAUGAUGUACUAAAAUUCCAGGCCCAGAUGCAUUUUUU